UUUUAUAUUUGUAUUUUCGGGGAAUUUCACUUUGUUGUUAUCCUAAAUAUUUCGCUCAUUCUCUUGGGUUAUACCUAAAAAAAUAAAUGUCAAUUCCGGUGUUGCUAGGGUAACGGUUGCCAAGUUCAAGCCCGGCUCUUACGAAUCUUCGUUUACCGAAGCGUAUCAUUGCUAUCACACCUGUGCUCUUUUGAAAGUUUCGUCGAUAUAUUUGAGUUCCUGUACUUUCUUCUUACCACAGUAAGAUUUCUCUUGUGAGACUUGGUUCUUGAGUUGACUACUCUAGCAUAAUCUUGAGUUGGCGCAAGAGAGAAAAACUGUGAAGUAUGGACCAAGACUGACCUCAAGCACCACAUCUCUCCCUGUCAGCCCAGUGAGCAGCUUCACCAACCUGAGCCAGUGUGAUGUGUCCUGCAGUCUGACCAGCCUAAGCCACCAAGGAGUGCCACUUCCAGUCCCUAGCAGGAGACCUGGACCCCUGAACAAGAUGGUGGACAGGAAGAGAAAGAGAGAUGAGGAUGAUGAGGUAGAGGUGAAGGUUUGUAAGAGGGCCAGGCUAUAGGUAUGGUAGGUAUAGUCAGAUUUACAUUGUUAAUGUAUGUCUGAAGCAUCUAUUUCAGUAAAAUUAAUUGCUAUAUUUUCAGUUUUUUAUAUUUAGCUUGCUUUGAAUGGAAAUAACUUUACUUGCUGCUAUUAUUCUUGUCAUUUUGUGUGAUAUUGUAAUACUUGGUCAUGCUACGUUUCAUCUUUACUUCACUUUUCAAAAUAGGUGCAUGCUUCCUCUAUAAUUGCCAAUGUGAAUGUCACUACUCUAGUUUGUAAUAACUAAAGCCCUAUAAACUGUGUUCCAAUCAGCAAUUGCUUCCUCUCAUUGUUAUUCUUCAGAUCACGUCAUUAACAGUCCUGCUGUUUCUCCCACUGUUCACAACAUAGUGAACCUACAUUGUUGUCACUUUCCCUGCCACUGAUUCUAACCCUAUUCCUGACCCUGAUUCUAGCCCCCCUUCAUUUAUUCAUGCCCCUGCCAGUGGUUGUAGCGCCGGAUCCUACCUGCCAGUGGUUCUAGUGCCUGAUCCUACCCUGCCAGUGGUUCUACCACCUGAUCCUGCCCCUGCCAGUGGUUGUAGCGCCAGAUCCUACCCUGCCAGUGGUUCUACCACCUGAUCCUCCCCC
Long non-coding RNA from Haliotis rufescens (red abalone), 1173 nucleotides. RefSeq lists it as uncharacterized. The transcript is spliced from 3 exons. The record is from RefSeq and is a predicted model, not a curated record. NCBI's taxonomy places the organism in Eukaryota, Metazoa, Mollusca, Gastropoda, Lepetellida, Haliotidae.